CUCUAAGCUCUAAUUUCUAUCCCAAAAAUUCUGCUAAAAUUUUCGUUCGAGCACUCCAUUCUUGUUGAGGCAGAAAACUGACUUGAGCGUCGGAGGGUCUUGCCGGAGCAACCCCAACUCCGGUUUAGACUUCUUUUGCAGGUCCCGACGGCGACCGCGACUCCCUUGACUCCAGCUUCUCCGACGCAGGCAAAUUUUUGCACCAACAAUAUUUAUAUAGUUGUAUAUUUUUUAAAAAAAUUAAUAAAUAUUAUAUAAAAUUAUAUAGGAUUACAUAUAGAUUCGGAU
Molecule: long non-coding RNA, 288 nt
Filed under: Elaeis guineensis (African oil palm)
Lineage: Eukaryota; Viridiplantae; Streptophyta; Magnoliopsida; Arecales; Arecaceae
Description: long non-coding RNA (EGUI_LNC000392)
Source: RNAcentral